RNAcentral lists this ribosomal RNA (280 nucleotides) under uncultured bacterium. Its description in RNAcentral is "partial 16S ribosomal RNA". It matches the Rfam family "Bacterial small subunit ribosomal RNA", at positions 506 to 784 of the family's 1533-position model. The record is from RNAcentral.
UGCCAGCAGCCGCGGUAAUACGUAGGGUCCGAGCGUUAUCCGGAAUCAUUGGGCGUAAAGAGCUCGUAGGCGGUUCAGCAAGUCGGCUGUGAAAGUUCGAGGCUCAACCUCGAAAUUGCAGUCGAUACUGCUGUGACUUGAAUUCGGUAGAGGAGAAUGGAAUUCCCGGUGUAGCGGUGAAAUGCGCAGAUAUCGGGAGGAACACCAGUAGCGAAGGCGGUUCUCUGGGCCGAUAUUGACGCUGAGGAGCGAAAGCGUGGGGAGCAAACAGGAUUAGAUA